RNAcentral lists this long non-coding RNA (1412 nucleotides) under Olea europaea (common olive). RNAcentral describes it as "long non-coding RNA (OEUR_LNC002675)". The record is from RNAcentral. Lineage: Eukaryota; Viridiplantae; Streptophyta; Magnoliopsida; Lamiales; Oleaceae.
GCAGAGAGGCUGGAAACGGCAGAGGAGGAAGAAGAAAGAAAAGAAAAGAGAAAGGAAAAAAAAGAAGAGGAAAAGGGAAAGGGAAAAAGAGGAGGAGAAAAAGGAAGAAAAAUAGGUAGUUCAAGCUUGUUUCCAUUCUCCUUUUUCUAUAUUUUCUUCAAGAGGUAAAGGAAUGAUUUUAUGUUAAAUUUCUAGGGUUUUAACUUGUAUAAAUUUCAUAUUUAAGAAACUAAGAGUACAAAUUGGAGCUCAAUUUUGUUGAUUCUUUAAUCUCCAAUUUCAUUAAGGCAAGGAUACCAAUUUUUGGCAAACCCUCGAUUUUAUAUUGGAUACUUGAGUAAGGAUUAAUUGUGAACAUGAUUAUGGUGAUGAUAUAUUAACUUGAAAGAAUGGAUCUAUGGAAUAAGAGGUAAAUUAGAUUGGUGCAAGUGGGAAUUCAAGUUUCAAUAGAUUAGAAUAAAGAAUUAUUUCUAUGUUUGGUAUCUAGUUAAUUAUGAUAAUUUAAAGAUUAGUGAAAGGCUAGAAGGUAAAAUUUGUUUCAAUUGUGAAGGAAACUAAAGAAUAUAUUCAAGUGCCGAAAAGUCAAGUUCUAAAAUUUCAUAAUUAAAUGUUAAGAGAUACUUAGUAUGGGAGUUGUUAAAUUAGUUAUCUUACAUCGGAUUUCAGGUGAUGACGUGAAAGCUUGACAAGGCUGGUCAAUUUGACCAGAUUGCUAUCUAUAGAUCUGUUAGUGGAGAACCUAUUUUUUCAAAAAGAAGAUUUUCUUUUUAUUUUAUAGAAGCAUAUUAAUUACAUGAAAUGUCUUAUUUUCGAGAAAUUGGUAAAUGAUCAUGAUUAUUUUGAAAUUAUCAGAAAACAACUGAUGUAAUUAUCUUACUCUAGUGCACUGAGGGGCUACGGCCGUAUACUAGAGUCAUGUAUUUUAUUCUUAUACACUGAGGGGCUAUAGCCAUGUAUAAGAAUGAUUAUGUUUCCAUCUUGUACACUGAGGGGCUAUGGUCGCGUACUAGAGUCGUGUAUUUAACUCCUAUGCACUGGGGGGCUACAGCCGUGUGUAAGGGUAACUCUUAUCCACUGAGGGGCUACGGCCGUAGGUAAAUGCAUAUAUUAUACUCUAAGGGGCUACCGUCGUGUAUAAAGAUGAUUAUGUUGUUUCCAUCUUGUACACUGAGGGGCUACGAUCGUAUACAUAUUAUUGAUCAGACGGUUUAUGUGCAUAUGAUUUAUAGAUUUCAAAUCAUUAGUAGAUGUUUACAUGGGAUAUAUUUUGAUGUGAAUUUUAAGUAUAUAGGGGAUUAUUAGCCUACAACUUACAUUUCCCCGUUUACAGUUCAACUUAUGGAUUUCAGAUUAUAGAGUUCUGUUUAUUCAGUUUUAAGAAUAAAGCUUCCGGCUUACGAUAUUGAGCAACC